UACGGAGGGUGCAAGCGUUAUCCGGAUUUAUUGGGUUUAAAGGGUGCGCAGGCGGAUUAAUAAGUCAGUGGUGAAAUCCCCCGGCUCAACCGGGGAAUUGCCGUUGAUACUGUUAGUCUAGAGUUUAGUUGAAGUAGGCGGAAUGUAGCAUGUAGCGGUGAAAUGCAUAGAUAUGCUACAGAACACCAAUUGCGAAGGCAGCUUACUAACCUAAAACUGACGCUCAGGCACGAAAGCGUGGGGAUCAAACAGG
This 253-nucleotide ribosomal RNA is filed under the name uncultured bacterium. RNAcentral describes it as "partial 16S ribosomal RNA". It matches the Rfam family "Bacterial small subunit ribosomal RNA", at positions 524 to 776 of the family's 1533-position model. The record is from RNAcentral.